This 301-nucleotide ribosomal RNA is filed under the name uncultured Aquifex sp. RNAcentral describes it as "partial 16S ribosomal RNA". The stretch from base 53 to 301 matches the Rfam family "Bacterial small subunit ribosomal RNA", at positions 547 to 795 of the family's 1533-position model. Lineage: Bacteria; Pseudomonadati; Aquificota; Aquificia; Aquificales; Aquificaceae. The record is from RNAcentral.
UGGUAACUGCGGGGUAGAAGCCGGGUAAACACGGUGGAGGAUAGGGUAUAUGGGUAGUAAUGGGUGUAAUGCAUCGGUAGGUGGCUAAGCAAGUCAAGGGUCAAAGAAUGGGGCUAAACCCUGCAAAGGCCGUGGAAACGGACGAGCUAGAGUGCAGUAGGGGUAGAGGGAAUUCCCGGUGUAGCGGUGAAAUGCGUAGAGCUCGGGAAGAACAUCGGUGGCGAAAGCGCUCUACUGGACUGCAACUGACACUCAGGGACGAAAGCUAGGGGAGCGAAUGGGAUUAGAUACCCGGGUAGUC